RNAcentral lists this ribosomal RNA (540 nucleotides) under uncultured bacterium. RNAcentral describes it as "bacterial SSU rRNA". It matches the Rfam family "Bacterial small subunit ribosomal RNA", at positions 8 to 594 of the family's 1533-position model. The record is from RNAcentral.
AGGGUUUGAUCAUGGCUCAGAGCGAACGCUGGCGGCAGGCUUAACACAUGCAAGUCGAACGGGCACUUCGGUGCUAGUGGCAGACGGGUGAGUAACACGUGGGAACGUACCUUUCGGUUCGGAAUAAUACAGGGAAACUUGUACUAAUACCGGAUACGCCCUUCGGGGGAAAGAUUUAUCGCCGAUUGAUCGGCCCGCGUCUGAUUAGCUAGUUGGUGAGGUAAUGGCUCACCAAGGCGACGAUCAGUAGCUGGUCUGAGAGGAUGAUCAGCCACACUGGGACUGAGACACGGCCCAGACUCCUACGGGAGGCAGCAGUGGGGAAUAUUGGACAAUGGGCGCAAGCCUGAUCCAGCCAUGCCGCGUGUGUGAUGAAGGCCUUAGGGUUGUAAAGCACUUUUGUCCGGGAAGAUAAUGACUGUACCGGAAGAAUAAGCCCCGGCUAACUUCGUGCCAGCAGCCGCGGUAAUACGAAGGGGGCUAGCGUUGCUCGGAAUCACUGGGCGUAAAGGGCGCGUAGGCGGACUCUUAAGUCGGGGG